GACGAACGCUGGCGGCGUGCUUAACACAUGCAAGUCGAACGGAAAGGCCCUGCUUUUGUGGGGUGCUCGAGUGGCGAACGGGUGAGUAACACGUGAGUAACCUGCCCUUGACUUUGGGAUAACUUCAGGAAACUGGGGCUAAUACCGUAUAGGAGCUCCUGUUGCAGGGUGGGGGUUGGAAAGUCUCGGCGGUCGGGGAUGGACUCGCGGCUUAUCAGCUUGUUGGUUGGGUAGGGGCUUACCAAGGCUUUGACGGGUAGCCGGCCUGAGAGCGUGAACGGCCACAUUGGGACUGAGAUACGGCCCAGACUCCUACGGGAGGCAGCAGUGGGGAAUAUUGCACAAUGGGCGGAAGCCUGAUGCAGCAACGCCGCGUGCGGGAUGACGGCCUUCGGGUUGUAAACCGCUUUCGCCUGUGACGAAGCGUGAGUGACGGUAAUGGGUAAAGAAGCACCGGCUAACUACGUG
RNAcentral lists this ribosomal RNA (468 nucleotides) under uncultured bacterium. RNAcentral describes it as "partial 16S ribosomal RNA". It matches the Rfam family "Bacterial small subunit ribosomal RNA", at positions 28 to 507 of the family's 1533-position model. The record is from RNAcentral.